Molecule: long non-coding RNA, 1661 nt
Filed under: Coffea arabica (coffee)
Lineage: Eukaryota; Viridiplantae; Streptophyta; Magnoliopsida; Gentianales; Rubiaceae
Description: long non-coding RNA (CARA_LNC005311)
Source: RNAcentral
UUCAGGUUAUUCAUUACUUGGAUGCUCUUUCACGAGCUUCCUUUUCCAUUCAUUAAGGAGAAUGCUUGAUUUCUUUAUUUGCUUUGUAUCUCUAUGCCAUUAGAUGUUGGAUCUGUUUUUGAUAGUUCUGUGUGUACUUAGUUGUUGGGUUUUCAGCCACAAAUGACCAAAAGCAUUGUAAGUCAUCAAGGAUUUCCAUUAUUUUAGAUUAUUGUUUUUAAGUGCCUUUUCCUCAUGUCUUUGCAUAAAUCUUGCCUUUCAUUUUUCUUUUGCUAGAGUACGAGUUUUUCAUUAAAAUUUUGCUAAUUUUGUUCUGAGGGGAUUGGCUUGUGUAUCUGAUAGGAUGGCAUUUUGAGGAUAUAAUAUAAAUUAUAGUAGAAUUAGUGCUCCACCAAAAUGGCUUUUCUUCCCUUCUUUCCUGCCAUUCAAGAGGUUUUUUUAUUGUCAAUGGAGCUUUUUUCUUCCUUUCUUGUACCUUUUGGCUAGCUUUCGUGGUACAGUUUAGUAGUACAAAAUGCAAUAAAUCUCUUGGUAAAACUUCUUAGUUAUAUAUUCCAUGAAUCUGAACUGUACAAGCUAACCAAUUGCUUUCAACCCUAUGUCAAUUUUCGCUAAAUUACAAGAUCUAGCAUAAUUUUACUGAUCUGAUUGUUUCAAUUCGGCUGGUCAAAUCUUUUCUUAUUGGAUGGGAUAAUCUAAAAUUUAGAAAUCGUAUGCAGGCGUGGAAGAUAUUUGGCAAUGGAUGGACUAAAAUUGUAAGAGUUGUUUUAGGCAGGUAACGGGAAUUAAUUCAUGGUAAAUGAUCUACUUAUUUAGCGUUUUAAUAUUUGCCUUGCGUUAAUGCCUAGAUGUUUGAACAUCCAUUUAAGCCAUUGGCAAUUUGCGAUUGAUUAAGCAAAAUCUAUGCAAGCUUAAAAAAAUAUGUUUGCAACUCCUGUUUUUAAGUGCCAUGAGUCUCUAAUUAUUGAUUCUGUCUAACCGUAUAGAAAAAAGGAACUAAUAAAAUAGCUAUAUUUGCAUUACCAGAUUGCUAUAAGUAAGAGUAGCAUGCUAGAGAAGUCAAUGGAAUUCCUUCCCUAAGAUACUUGCAUCUUGUGUCUUACAUGUAUAUUAUAGUAUAACUCAUCCAAGAAUAGUCUACUUCUAUGCUGGGGAACAUUUAUGAUACUUGGAGAUUACUUUUGAUGUCAUUUUCUGAAGAUAACAUAAUACUACAGCUUUUUGCUGAUAUUUGUCACUCUCAGGUGCUCCAAGAGAGCUCUAACAUUUAUUUUUGCAGUAAAUUAUGGGAUUGUAUUAUUGUACCUUUUAGGUUGAUUAAUGGAAUUUUCUGAAGAUAACAUAAUAUUGCUUUUUGCUGAUAUUUGUCACUCUCAGGUGCUCCAAGAGAGCUCUAACAUUUAUUUUUGCAGUGAAUUAUGGGAUUGUAUUAUUGUACCUUUUAGGUUGAUUAAUGGAUGCUUCUUACUCUUUUGACCGUUGCAUCUUUUUUUGAAAUUCCAUAAGUUUUUUGAGAUGCCUAGACAUGAAUCAUAUAUUUGGUUUCUUUUCCAUCCGGUUGUUUCUUUCUUCUUUUUUUAAAGUGAUUAUUAUUUUAUUUAGUACUUACUGGUGAAGUCACAUAAAUUAGGUAACUUGAAUUUGAAUCCGAUGGCAAAUUU